GCCCGGGUGGCUCAGUGGUUUAGCGCCUGCCUUCCGCCCAGGGCGUGAUCCUGGAGUCCUGGGAUCGAGUCCCGGGCCGGGCU
RNAcentral lists this transfer RNA (83 nucleotides) under Canis lupus familiaris (dog). It matches the Rfam family "tRNA". Rfam says of the family: Transfer RNA (tRNA) molecules are approximately 80 nucleotides in length. Their secondary structure includes four short double-helical elements and three loops (D, anti-codon, and T loops). RNAcentral also lists the same sequence under 1 other name. The record is from Rfam by way of RNAcentral. Lineage: Eukaryota; Metazoa; Chordata; Mammalia; Carnivora; Canidae.